UACGGGGGGGGCAAGCGUUGUUCGGAAUUACUGGGCGUAAAGGGCGCGUAGGCGGUGCUCUAAGUCGGAUGUGAAAACUCUGGGCUCAACCCAGAGCCUGCAUCCGAAACUGGAGUGCUAGAGUUCUGGAGGGGGUAGCGGAAUUCCUGGUGUAGCGGUGAAAUGCGUAGAUAUCGGGAGGAACACCAGUGGCGAAGGCGGCUUCCUGGCCUGUUCUUGACGCUGAGGCGCGAAAGCUAGGGGAGCAAACGGG
RNAcentral lists this ribosomal RNA (253 nucleotides) under uncultured bacterium. RNAcentral's name for it is "partial 16S ribosomal RNA". It matches the Rfam family "Bacterial small subunit ribosomal RNA", at positions 524 to 776 of the family's 1533-position model. The record is from RNAcentral.